UUUACCCUGCCUACGCACGUGAGAAAAAUUAUAUCCUUGGACCGUAGUAAAUAAUCCGAGGGACUUUAACCGUGGUGGUUGCCGACAGGCCUUUACUGGAAGUCGAAUGCCAUCCGGCGGGUUCCCACCUGUUUCCAACAAGUUCAAUGGAAAUGUUUCGCACGGCACUGGCGGGGUUUUU
RNAcentral lists this non-coding RNA (181 nucleotides) under Verrucomicrobiales bacterium. Its description in RNAcentral is "6S RNA". It matches the Rfam family "6S / SsrS RNA". From Rfam's summary of the family: E. coli 6S RNA was the first non coding RNA to be sequenced, but its function was unknown until recently. Lineage: Bacteria; Pseudomonadati; Verrucomicrobiota; Verrucomicrobiia; Verrucomicrobiales. The record is from RNAcentral.